This 71-nucleotide transfer RNA is filed under the name Bos taurus (domestic cattle). It matches the Rfam family "tRNA". From Rfam's summary of the family: Transfer RNA (tRNA) molecules are approximately 80 nucleotides in length. Their secondary structure includes four short double-helical elements and three loops (D, anti-codon, and T loops). RNAcentral also lists the same sequence under 3 other names. The record is from Rfam by way of RNAcentral. Lineage: Eukaryota; Metazoa; Chordata; Mammalia; Artiodactyla; Bovidae.
UCCUGGUGGCUCAGAGGGUAAAGCAUCUGCCCGAAAUGCGGGAGACCCAGGUUCGAUCCCUGGGUCAGGAA